CUGUUCUGCUGGUUGUCUGUAUGGAAACCUCAAGCUGGGAGACCCAUGGACUGGGACUGCAAGCGGGGGUGAUGAAGAGCUCAGGGUGACAGGAGGAGACCUGCAGCUCCAGGGUGUCUGCCUGGGGUCCUGGCCCAUCACUGUGGUGUAUAUAUGCAUAUGCCUUAGUGCCAUUCCCACUGCCUAAAUAAUCCUCCUUCAAGGGGACAGAUCCUUCUGUAGCAUCCAAGGACACUGUGAAUGGGCGACAUGAUGCCUGAGUGAAUCAGGGAUGCAGCGAUUCCUGCUUCCUGGUGGGAAUUACCUCGCAGCACAAGUUGUGUGUUUUACAGCUGAAUCUGUCAUGCAACGUUUGCAAGCAUCAAAUACGAGCACCCAAGCUGUGAAGCUGCUUUCUGCCAGUCUUUAUACUGAUAUUCCCGGGAAGUGCUUACAAAAGGCUUUCAGAUACAUCAGAUGAUGCUUUCCAUGUUGUCUCCAAUUUGCUUUCUGUUUCUAAGGAAAACUCAGGCUUUCAACUCCUCCUAUCAACUGAAGCAUCCAAACAGAAUUCUAAAGCUCCAAAUGAUUCACUACUUCAUUAAAUGGGGGCAAUAAAGCAGAGUCUCAGGUAGUUCCCCCUCCGUUGUCUCCCUGGCAGCACAGAGCAGCCCACAGAGGCCACAUCCCCAUCCCAUAGUGGGACAUCUGCCAGGCGGGAUCCAGGGCAUGGCAUACACUGGGAUCACACUGCCUCAUCACCGACUGCAUCCAGCUUGUUGUGAUGUUCAUUGACAAGGGCUCCCCUGCAGACAAGCGAUGCUGCUGUGGCGUUGGUCCAAGCCUGGCUCCUCACCUCGCUGCUUUGCUCUAGGCAGGGAAACCAUUAAUAUGACAGAAGUGACCUGCAAUGACUGCUGCUGGAUUAUUUAAUCUGGCCAGGCUCCUUAGCUGCCAUAAGAGAAGACAAACUGCCUGCCUGGUGUUUAAAGGUUUGGGGAUGUAGGAUAGCAUUGAUUCGGUGUGUCUGAGAAGGUGCUGCUCCUUGGGCUUGCUGCCAGCAGGAGUUGAUGACAAAGCACCCGCUGGUGCUGGUCCUCCCCAUCCAUCCUUUGCAACUCAUUUCCACUCAGCAGUGAGUGGCUGGUGGGUGUCAGGGAUAACCCAGGUAGCAGGGAAGAGGUGGGAUGAGGUGAUGGGGAGGAGAGCAUCUCUGCUCCUUGCCCAGCCCUGCCCUGGGCUCCAUGGGCCCCUCUAUGACCACUGUUGCUCUGGGCAGCAACAAGCCAAGCAGAUGGAGCACUUUGCCUCUCGCUGGGAAGCAUUAGAGCCAGUCCUUGGCUCUGGGAUGGGGAGAAGCCUCCCAGCUUCAGGCAUUUAGCCAGCCUGGAGGGCAGCCCGGUCCCUGCGGUGCCGGGCUCGCACCAGAGGCACCUCCUGCUCUCCCAGCACCAUCUCACUUCUUGCCUUGACCCACUGCCCCUAAAACAUCUCCAUCACCCCUGCAGUGAGCUCCUGGGGCUGCCAGCCUGGAGCUGAGGCAAGGCUGGCCACCAGGACCACUUGCCCCCUCCGAAAGCCACAGAGCAGGGGGAUGCAGGGCUCUGCUCCUUGCAGCAUGCUGGCAACCCAAGGUGUCUGCCUCUAAACCAGGGCAAUUACACCUCUGAUCUCGUUUACACACAAAAUAAAACCAAUUCCUUGUUUGUGUUCCCAUCCACAGAUUCCCAGGAAUAGCCCACAGAGGGAAGCUCUGAAGGAAAGCGUGAUUAAUUCUCGGUGGCACUUUUAAACGUCGCUUUUAUUACAAUGCAGCCUUUUCACGCACUUUGCCCUUUUCCAAUUCAUUUUUGCUCUUUUGAGGUGGAACGGGGCUGAUGUUCUGCAGCUCCCUUUUCUCAAGAGCGGUUUUUAACUCUUGAUCUGCUGUGGUAAUGAACCUUCCCUGCUGUGCCUGCAGAAUCAGGGAUGCUCUGGGGAUGCUCCCAGGAGCAGCAGCAUCCUCUGCUCCCCCAGCACAGGACUGGAUGCAGUGGGGUAUAAAGGG
This is a long non-coding RNA of Neopsephotus bourkii (Bourke's parrot), 2026 nucleotides long. RefSeq lists it as uncharacterized. NCBI's taxonomy places the organism in Eukaryota, Metazoa, Chordata, Aves, Psittaciformes, Psittacidae. The record is from RefSeq and is a predicted model, not a curated record. The transcript has 3 exons.